Molecule: ribosomal RNA, 705 nt
Filed under: uncultured Flexibacteraceae bacterium
Lineage: Bacteria; Pseudomonadati; Bacteroidota; Cytophagia; Cytophagales; Cytophagaceae
Description: bacterial SSU rRNA
Rfam family: Bacterial small subunit ribosomal RNA
Source: RNAcentral
GGCGAAGGGGCAGCAAUGUCACUGUCGUACGGGUGCGUAACGCGUAUGCAACCUACCUAUCACUGGGGGAUAGCCCGGGGAAACCCGGAUUAAUACCGCAUAAAACAGGGGCACCGCAUGGUGAUAUUUGUUAAAGAUUUAUUGGUGAUAGAUGGGCAUGCGUUCGAUUAGCUAGUUGGCGGGGUAACGGCCCACCAAGGCGACGAUCGAUAGGGGAGCUGAGAGGUUGGUCCCCCACACGGGCACUGAGAUACGGGCCCGACUCCUACGGGAGGCAGCAGUAGGGAAUAUUGGGCAAUGGAUGCAAGUCUGACCCAGCCAUGCCGCGUGCCGGAUGAAGGCCCUCAGGGUUGUAAACGGCUUUUAUUCGGGAAGAAGAGCAGGGAUGCGUCCUUGUGUGACGGUACCGAAUGAAUAAGCACCGGCUAACUCCGCGCCAGCAGCCGCGGUAAUACGGAGGGUGCGAGCGUUGUCCGGAUUUAUUGGGUUUAAAGGGUGCGUAGGUGGCCUAGUAAGUCAGUGGUGAAAUACGGUUGCUCAACAAUCGAGGUGCCAUUGAUACUGCAAGGCUUGAAAUAAUUGGAGGCUGCCGGAAUGGAUGGUGUAGCGGUGAAAUGCAUAGAUAUCAUCCAGAACACCGAUUGCGAAGGCAGGUGGCUACGAUUUGUUUGACACUGAGGCACGAAAGCAUGGGGAGCAAACAGG